Molecule: small nuclear RNA, 108 nt
Filed under: Microcebus murinus (gray mouse lemur)
Lineage: Eukaryota; Metazoa; Chordata; Mammalia; Primates; Cheirogaleidae
Source: RNAcentral
GUGCUCGCUUCAGCAGCACAUAUACUAAAAUUGGAACGAUACAGAGAGGAUUAGCAUGCUCCCCCCCAAAAAAAUGAAUUACAUUAAAGAUCACUAAAUGUGAAUUCU